AACGCUGGCGGCGUGCCUAACACAUGCAAGUCGAACGAGAAAGUGGAGCUAUCCAUGAGUAAAGUGGCGACCGGGUGAGUAACACGUGACUAACCUACCUUCGAGUGGGGGAUAACAUCGGGAAACCGAUGCUAAUACCGCAUAACAUCUCAAGAUCAAAGCAGCAAUGCGCUGGAAGAGGGGGUCGCGGCUGAUUAGCUAGUUGGCGGGGUAAUGGCCCACCAAGGCGAAGGUCGGUAUCCGGCCUGAUAGGGCGCACGGACACACUGGAACUGAAACACGGUCCAGACUCCUACGGGUGGCAGCAGUGGGGAAUUUUGCGCAAUGGGGGAAACCCUGACGCAGCAACUCCGCGUGGAGGAUGAAGUCCCUUGGGACGUAAACUCCUUUCGACCAAGAUGAUUAUGACGGUACUGGUGGAAGAAGCACCGGCUAACUCUGUGCCAGCAUCCGCGGUAAUU
This 461-nucleotide ribosomal RNA is filed under the name uncultured Acidobacteriota bacterium. RNAcentral's name for it is "bacterial SSU rRNA". It matches the Rfam family "Bacterial small subunit ribosomal RNA", at positions 32 to 525 of the family's 1533-position model. The record is from RNAcentral. Lineage: Bacteria; Pseudomonadati; Acidobacteriota.